AAUUGUUGCAGUUAAAAGCUCGUAGUUGAAUUUCUGCUACAUUGCCUAUUCUCCUUUACGAGUUUGGGUCUUUUGUGGCUUAUCUGGGUUCGCUUGCGUUCCCGGUGUUUUACUUUGAGAAAAUUAGAGUGCUCAAAGCAGGCUUUUGCCUUGAAUAGUUUAGCAUGGAAUAAUAAAGUAGGACUUUGGUUCUAUUUUGUUGGUUUUAGGUACCAAAGUAAUGGUUAAUAGGAACAGUUGGGGGCAUUCGUAUUUAACUGUCAGAGGUGAAAUUCUUAGAUUUGUUAAAGACAAACUA
RNAcentral lists this ribosomal RNA (298 nucleotides) under Theileria velifera. RNAcentral's name for it is "partial small subunit ribosomal RNA". It matches the Rfam family "Eukaryotic small subunit ribosomal RNA", at positions 608 to 942 of the family's 1831-position model. The record is from RNAcentral. Lineage: Eukaryota; Apicomplexa; Aconoidasida; Piroplasmida; Theileriidae.